UGUGUACUCCCUCCGUUCGAAAAUACUUGAUUUCCAUUUGUCCAAAAAUGGAUGUACCUAUAUACUAAAACAUGUCUAGAUACAUAUAUAUUUUGACAAAUAGAAGGCAUGUAUUGUGCAACGGAGGGAGUAGAAU
This is a non-coding RNA of Triticum urartu, 136 nucleotides long. Lineage: Eukaryota; Viridiplantae; Streptophyta; Magnoliopsida; Poales; Poaceae. The record is from Rfam.